CAGACCUGGGUGCCCUACGUGCAGCAUCUCUGGGCUCUCAGAGCCCACCCAUGACUCCUGCUCAAGAUCAGGAAGGGUCGGACCGGGAGCCGGGCCUCGCUGUCCUCAUCCAAGAGGGGCUGUCUCUCUCGUGCGAGCUCCCCCUCAACGUCCCAAACCCACUGCAGCUCGAGGCGCCAUCACUGGCCACAGGAGCCCCGGUAGCCGUUUGGGGUCUCUGAGCCCCUCUCCUCGCCGUCCUCCUCCUCAGGUCAUCUCCACCUGCAGCUGUCACCUGGAGGGAGGGGUUUCUGAGCCUCGAGCUUUGCGAAGCACCCACCAGUCUGGCGUCCCAGACAUCCCCCGUCUUCCCUGAAUCCAGAAAGGCACGGAAGGGGCUGUGUGCUGCUGAGUGCUCCGAGCUGGGACCACACCAGGCGGAGGACUUCUUUCCCGAGGGCGAGCACGGCUCUCAGGACACAGGACACCGGCCGUCAAGGGGUGAGAGGCAAGCCAGCUGGGACCCUUCGGGCAGACGGAUGUUCCCAAGGACAUGCAGUGAACCGGGAAGCUUCGUCACUCAGCCUGUGACCCACCCACGGCAAGAUUCUGGAAGGAGAGGACCCUGAGCCCAAGUCUCGUCUUGGGAGCAGGGCUUUGCGUGUCUGCUUUGCCUCCGGUCUGAAAGAUUGCUGUGUGUGUGCAGCUAGGUCCGUGAGCGACACGGCGUGCUGGGUCCUUUCUGGGUUGUGGGCGUUGAUGGGGCUUCUGCCCAGAGAAGACGGCCACCACAGAGUCUUGCUUCAGGCUGGGCCCGUCACCUGGACAUGCAGCCCUCCCGCCACUAAAGGUCUUGUUUUCUCCUGCUCACUCGCUAGGAUCUCAAUGGAUAUGCCUGGCCUGUGCCAAGUGACAUGCCGUUGCCAACCAUGGGAGGAGGUGCGGGGUGAGGGCAGAGUGCCACGGGGGAGGUGCCCCCCAUCGGCAGGGUCCCUGCACCCUGAAGCCGCAGAUACCUGGACCUUAAUAAGACAGCUGAAGUGCAUUUCCCACCUGUCUGAAUUAAGCAAACCAGUUUAGGAGAAAAACAAUGUCCCAUCAGUUCUCUAAGGCCUCUCUAAGCUGCACAGGCUUUGUAGGGGAAUGUUGAGGAAUUCUUCAUUGCCUUGGGGAGCCACACCCCCCAAAGGCUUGGCUUAACAGCACACAGAGGCCUGUCACCUUGGUGUAUGGGUCCAGACUGUGGAACCUAACUGGGCGUGAGCCCCGCCUGGCCCCUCGGCACCUGCUGGAGAGCCUUCGGUCCUAGUGGCUGCCUGUCCUCUGGGAGACGAUGGUGGUGCUGGCCGCACAAGACGCUUUGGAAAGGGGGUGAAUUCAGGCUCAGCUUUCAGAGAGCACCCUCCAUGUGUUAAGGACUGUGUUGGCUUCUGUUUCUCAUCAUUGCUUGCCCCCCACACACAUACAUCUCCUGGUCAUGCUGAGGGUCCUCAAAGGUGUCUCCUCCACUCACAGCAGGGUCUGUACCCGAGGGUCCCCCUUGGAGGCAAGGCCUGUCCCUGCUCAGAGGAGCCCCGCCCCAGAACAACUUGCA
This is a non-coding RNA of Odocoileus virginianus texanus, 1573 nucleotides long. The record is from RefSeq and is a predicted model, not a curated record. Lineage: Eukaryota; Metazoa; Chordata; Mammalia; Artiodactyla; Cervidae.